AUGGAUUGGAAUUAUGAUUCAUUUGAUGAAGACUACAACUAUGAUGAAGAUUCAGAUGGUCAUAUAAGGAAGAGGAAGAGCACAUUCCCAAAAUACAACACUGGAAGUGAAGUACCACAUUUUGCUUUGAGCAUGGUUUUUAGAAGCAAGAAUCAGUUGUGCAAAGCUUUGAGAAGAUAUGGACUAGUAACAAAAAGGAGCAUCUUGUUCAUGAAAUCUGAGUGUGAUAGAGUAAGGGCAAAGUGUGGACGGCCUGGCUGCCCAUGGCUUAUAUAUGCAGCCAAGAGAUCAAGAACUUCAACAUUCCAAGUGAUAACAUACAACGAUGAUCACCAAUGUGCACAGAACAGAUGCAACAAAUUGGUUACUGCAAAGGUGAUUGCACAGAGGUAUGAGCACUUCAUAUUGGCAAAUCCUAUG
RNAcentral lists this ribosomal RNA (420 nucleotides) under Triticum aestivum (bread wheat). RNAcentral's name for it is "partial small subunit ribosomal RNA". Lineage: Eukaryota; Viridiplantae; Streptophyta; Magnoliopsida; Poales; Poaceae. The record is from RNAcentral.